Molecule: ribosomal RNA, 433 nt
Filed under: uncultured bacterium
Lineage: Bacteria
Description: partial 16S ribosomal RNA
Rfam family: Bacterial small subunit ribosomal RNA
Source: RNAcentral
AACGAACGCUGGCGGCAUGCCUAACACAUGCAAGUCGAACGAGACCUUCGGGUCUUGUGGCGCACGUGUGCGUAACGCGUGGGAACCUGCCCUUAGGUUCGGAAUAACUCCCCGAAAGGGGUGCUAAUACCGGAUAAUGUCUUCGGACCAAAGAUUUAUCGCCUAUGGUUGGGCCCGCGUUGGAUUAGCUAGUUGGUAGGGUAAAAGCCUACCAAGGCGACGAUCCAUAGCUGGUCUGAGAGGAUGAUCAGCCACACUGGGACUGAGACCCGGCCCAGACUCCUGAGGGAGGCAGCAGUGGGGAAUAUUAGACAAUGGGCGAAAGACUGAUCCAGCAAUGCCGCGUGAGUGAUGAAGGCCUUAGGGUUGUAAAGCUCUUUUACCCGGGAUGAUAAUGACAGUACCGGGAGAAUAAGCCCCGGCUAACUCCGUG